RNAcentral lists this unclassified non-coding RNA (1465 nucleotides) under Hevea brasiliensis (rubber tree). The record is from RNAcentral. Lineage: Eukaryota; Viridiplantae; Streptophyta; Magnoliopsida; Malpighiales; Euphorbiaceae.
GAGAGAGAGAGAGAGAGGGAGAUAAGUUGGAACAAGAGGAUAGCUGAUCCUACCUUUCCCCAGUGAUGGGCUCAAAAAAGCAAAGAAUACACAGAGAGGAGCUUCCGUGUUUUCUAGAGAAAACAUCAUAAACUUGUUUUCUACAAGUAGUCAUAACUUAGUUAAGUAGAAAAUUAGUUCAGUUUCCUAUUUUGGAUAAUUUGUACAUUUGAACACAAUAUUCUAUUUUUCAGUUUUUUGGAAAAUUUUUCCAGAAAACUGCUUUAAUUUUCUACUAGUGAACACACCCCAUAUUUUUCUACUAAAUUUUCUACUGUGCAUUCUUCUUAAAAUCUUCCUCUUAGGGAAUUUAUGAUUUAUUAAUACCCAAACAAUUUUCAUUUUAUAGGGAAUUUUCUUGUUUACGAACUUAUUUGCCUUCAGCUUAGUAAGUACGAGGAAUUUUUCUUAUCUAGGAGAUGGUCCUCAUAAAACAAUCAAAAGUAGUCACAUAAAUAAAUAUUUAUGGAACCUAGUUACUUUCUUAGGCUAUGACUACUGAAAUAUUAGAUGGAUAUAGUUAUACACUUAAAAUCUAUUGAUGCCAUAAAAGAAAAAUUACUCAAUUAUUUAAAAAAAAAAAAUUCAAUCAAAUUUUCUUGUAUCUUUUUUUUAUCCUAAAUUAAGACUUAGUGGUUUAUGUGAUUAUUUGAUAAAAAUAUUAUGGAAGCUUGAAAAUAAAAAUAUUCUUAAAAUUUCUCAAGGGGUAAGAUAACUACUUCUUGAUAUAUACAAAACCAAUAGUGCAGCUUGUUCAGCCAUAAACCCCAUUCUUCUUCCCAUUUUAAUUGAAGUUCAACCAUUCAUGCAAGGCCAGCACGAGUAACAAAUAUUGAUGCAACAGCAUAAAAAAAAUCAAGAUGUCUAUGUAAUCUACCUAAAAUUGAUCUAUAUCUUCUGAAUUUGGCGAUAGAUUUUAUUUGAUUUUUCUCAUCCUUCAAUGGUAGAAAAAAAAAAUGAAUUUCAAUUUCCAAUUUUAAGCACGAAUGCAAAGGAAGUACUUCCAAUGCUGAUUUCAAUAUUCACAAUUGAACAAGCUGUUUAGUGCAGACGAGAAAGUUACUAGACAAUACCAGAUCCAGUUUGAACCCAAAAUUAUUAGAAACACAAGCAUGCAUUAAGAAUUGGACCAAGGCUACACAUAAGCAAUAAGAAAAUACAAUCGAGUCUACCAAUUAUAACUUCAUACGUCAAGACACAAUGGGAAUAAAUGAGGAAUAAGGUAAUUUGGGGAUUGUUAUAAAGAUGAAAACUGCGAGAAUUUUAAUUCUAUGAUGCACAGGCAGCUAGGCAUCUUAAUAAAUGACUAAAAUCAAGCCUAAGUAAUUUUUAUUUAUUUUUUUUGCUUUCAUUUGCAAAUACAUAUUUUUUUUGCAUCUUUGUAAUUAAAACAUAUAUGUACAAGAUAAUAAUAAUAAUAAUAAUA